Long non-coding RNA from Ceratina calcarata, 1053 nucleotides. RefSeq lists it as uncharacterized. The transcript has 2 exons. The record is from RefSeq and is a predicted model, not a curated record. NCBI's taxonomy places the organism in Eukaryota, Metazoa, Arthropoda, Insecta, Hymenoptera, Apidae.
GCAUUUUGCUCGGCUUUGAAAUCUACGUUUGAAUCACUGAAACUUUCGAGGUUAACUCGACGAAAUUGACGGAGAAAGGAAACCAAGUCUAGCUCCGACGAGUUCCAAUCGUCUGGACAAAGCUCUCUGUUGGUACCGUUGCUGGCACGCUCACAUCGUGAAACGAACAGUGAUUAUUUAUGAAAACUGACUUUCUAUCGUUCUGUCGUUCGACACAACUCAAGUUUCGUGAAAUCAGCUGAUCGACCAGUGACGGCAGUACCGUCGUGGGAUGCUUAACCCAUGCGCACUACGAGCCGCCCUAAGAAAAUAAUUACGACCUUCCCUGCAGAACCUUGCGAGCAACGGAGAUCGCAUUCUUCACGUUCCUCAAUAGUCCUACACCGCCGACGUCCAUGGUGACCCUGUCUCAAGAAACGCGUCAGUUUUAAAUUACUUGCACGUUUCCAUAUGACGGAUUGUGCGAAUAGUACCCAUCCAUAAUUAGAGCAUCAAGAGUUGUCUCCCCGUUCUCAUCUGGACUGCCUCCGUAUCCCACGGUCUUCCUACAUUUCUGUUCUUCGCAAAGACUGCAGCUUUCUUCUAUAGCAUCCAGAGCACUCCUCUUCUCGACGUUAAGAACGUUCCAUGCUGCAAGACGAUCAUCGUGCUACACGUGUAAUAUUACUUUCUGUAAUUAUAAUGUUUAGUCGUGCGUUACCUCGUUGCGUAGCUUGUUCAUAAUUCCACGUAAUGACUACCAACGGAGUGCUCUCGUUAGAAGCAGACACUUGUUGGCAAGAACAAAUAGAAACGGCCAGGAGAAACGUGAAUACGAAUGUCAUGAUGAGCGUUUCGCUAAAUGAUCGAAGACUCAAUUGAACGUUGAUUGCCCGUAUAGCGGUGCACACGGUGGGGUUAUAUCUCACAUAUCGCGUUCUGUAGAAUAACAACGAUACGUGACACACAUGUGCGCUGAUCAAAUAAAAUAUUCCACUCCCUCCAUAGAUCUUUAAGUAAAUGUAUAAAUUAGUUUUAAGACUUUAGUAAGGCAUGAAAUUUCUUGAUCACUGA